ACGCUGGCGGCAGGCUUAACACAUGCGAGUCGAACGGUAACAGGGAUUAGCUUGCUAAUCUGCUGACGAGUGGCGGACGGGUGAGUAAUGCUUGGGAAUCUGGCUUAUGGAGGGGGAUAACUACGGGAAACUGUAGCUAAUACCGCGUAAAAUCUUCGGAUUAAAGGGUGGGACUUUCGAGCCACCUGCCAUAAGAUGAGCCCAAGUGGGAUUAGGUAGUUGGUUAGGUAAAGGCCGACCAAGCCGACGAUCUCUAGCUGGUCUGAGAGGAUGACCAGCCACACUGGAACUGAGACACGGUCCAGACUCCUACGGGAGGCAGCAGUGGGGAAUAUUGCACAAUGGGGGGAACCCUGAUGCAGCCAUGCCGCGUGAAUGAAGAAGGCCUUCGGGUUGUAAAGUUCUUUCGGUGACGAGGAAGGUUGGUAGGUUAAUAGCCUAUCAAAUUGACGUUAAUCACAGAAGAAGCACCGGCUAACUCCGUGCCAGCAGCCGCGGUAAUACGGGGGGUGCGAGCGUUAAUCGGAAUAACUGGGCGUAAAGGGCACGCAGGCGGUGACUUAAGUGAGAUGUGAAAGCCCCGAGCUUAACUUGGGAAUUGCAUUUCAUACUGGGUCGCUAGAGUACUUUAGGGAGGGGUAGAAUUCCACGUGUAGCGGUGAAAUGCGUAGAGAUGUGGAGGAAUACCGAAGGCGAAGGCAGCCCCUUGGGAAUGUACUGACGCUCAUGUGCGAAAGCGUGGGGAGCAAACAGGAUUAGAUACCCUGGUAGUCCACGCUGUAAACGAUGUCGAUUUGGGGAUUGGGCUUUGAGCUUGGUGCCCGUAGCUAACGUGAUAAAUCGACCGCCUGGGGAGUACGGCCGCAAGGUUAAAACUCAAAUGAAUUGACGGGGGCCCGCACAAGCGG
Molecule: ribosomal RNA, 908 nt
Filed under: uncultured bacterium
Lineage: Bacteria
Description: bacterial SSU rRNA
Rfam family: Bacterial small subunit ribosomal RNA
Source: RNAcentral